Molecule: ribosomal RNA, 2609 nt
Filed under: Escherichia coli
Lineage: Bacteria; Pseudomonadati; Pseudomonadota; Gammaproteobacteria; Enterobacterales; Enterobacteriaceae
Description: partial 23S ribosomal RNA
Rfam family: Bacterial large subunit ribosomal RNA
Source: RNAcentral
CAUAGGUUAAUGAGGCGAACCGGGGGAACUGAAACAUCUAAGUACCCCGAGGAAAAGAAAUCAACCGAGAUUCCCCCAGUAGCGGCGAGCGAACGGGGAGCAGCCCAGAGCCUGAAUCAGUGUGUGUGUUAGUGGAAGCGUCUGGAAAGGCGCGCGAUACAGGGUGACAGCCCCGUACACAAAAAUGCACAUGCUGUGAGCUCGAUGAGUAGGGCGGGACACGUGGUAUCCUGUCUGAAUAUGGGGGGACCAUCCUCCAAGGCUAAAUACUCCUGACUGACCGAUAGUGAACCAGUACCGUGAGGGAAAGGCGAAAAGAACCCCGGCGAGGGGAGUGAAAAAGAACCUGAAACCGUGUACGUACAAGCAGUGGGAGCACGCUUCGGCGUGUGACUGCGUACCUUUUGUAUAAUGGGUCAGCGACUUAUAUUCUGUAGCAAGGUUAACCGAAUAGGGGAGCCGAAGGGAAACCGAGUCUUAACUGGGCGUUAAGUUGCAGGGUAUAGACCCGAAACCCGGUGAUCUAGCCAUGGGCAGGUUGAAGGUUGGGUAACACUAACUGGAGGACCGAACCGACUAAUGUUGAAAAAUUAGCGGAUGACUUGUGGCUGGGGGUGAAAGGCCAAUCAAACCGGGAGAUAGCUGGUUCUCCCCGAAAGCUAUUUAGGUAGCGCCUCGUGAAUUCAUCUCCGGGGGUAGAGCACUGUUUCGGCAAGGGGGUCAUCCCGACUUACCAACCCGAUGCAAACUGCGAAUACCGGAGAAUGUUAUCACGGGAGACACACGGCGGGUGCUAACGUCCGUCGUGAAGAGGGAAACAACCCAGACCGCCAGCUAAGGUCCCAAAGUCAUGGUUAAGUGGGAAACGAUGUGGGAAGGCCCAGACAGCCAGGAUGUUGGCUUAGAAGCAGCCAUCAUUUAAAGAAAGCGUAAUAGCUCACUGGUCGAGUCGGCCUGCGCGGAAGAUGUAACGGGGCUAAACCAUGCACCGAAGCUGCGGCAGCGACGCUUAUGCGUUGUUGGGUAGGGGAGCGUUCUGUAAGCCUGUGAAGGUGUGCUGUGAGGCAUGCUGGAGGUAUCAGAAGUGCGAAUGCUGACAUAAGUAACGAUAAAGCGGGUGAAAAGCCCGCUCGCCGGAAGACCAAGGGUUCCUGUCCAACGUUAAUCGGGGCAGGGUGAGUCGACCCCUAAGGCGAGGCCGAAAGGCGUAGUCGAUGGGAAACAGGUUAAUAUUCCUGUACUUGGUGUUACUGCGAAGGGGGGACGGAGAAGGCUAUGUUGACCGGGCGACGGUUGUCCCGGUUUAAGCGUGUAGGCUGGUUUUCCAGGCAAAUCCGGAAAAUCAAGGCUGAGGCGUGAUGACGAGGCACUACGGUGCUGAAGCAACAAAUGCCCUGCUUCCAGGAAAAGCCUCUAAGCAUCAGGUAACAUCAAAUCGUACCCCAAACCGACACAGGUGGUCAGGUAGAGAAUACCAAGGCGCUUGAGAGAACUCGGGUGAAGGAACUAGGCAAAAUGGUGCCGUAACUUCGGGAGAAGGCACGCUGAUAUGUAGGUGAAGCGACUUGCUCGUGGAGCUGAAAUCAGUCGAAGAUACCAGCUGGCUGCAACUGUUUAUUAAAAACACAGCACUGUGCAAACACGAAAGUGGACGUAUACGGUGUGACGCCUGCCCGGUGCCGGAAGGUUAAUUGAUGGGGUCAGCGCAAGCGAAGCUCUUGAUCGAAGCCCCGGUAAACGGCGGCCGUAACUAUAACGGUCCUAAGGUAGCGAAAUUCCUUGUCGGGUAAGUUCCGACCUGCACGAAUGGCGUAAUGAUGGCCAGGCUGUCUCCACCCGAGACUCAGUGAAAUUGAACUCGCUGUGAAGAUGCAGUGUACCCGCGGCAAGACGGAAAGACCCCGUGAACCUUUACUAUAGCUUGACACUGAACAUUGAGCCUUGAUGUGUAGGAUAGGUGGGAGGCUUUGAAGUGUGGACGCCAGUCUGCAUGGAGCCGACCUUGAAAUACCACCCUUUAAUGUUUGAUGUUCUAACGUUGACCCGUAAUCCGGGUUGCGGACAGUGUCUGGUGGGUAGUUUGACUGGGGCGGUCUCCUCCUAAAGAGUAACGGAGGAGCACGAAGGUUGGCUAAUCCUGGUCGGACAUCAGGAGGUUAGUGCAAUGGCAUAAGCCAGCUUGACUGCGAGCGUGACGGCGCGAGCAGGUGCGAAAGCAGGUCAUAGUGAUCCGGUGGUUCUGAAUGGAAGGGCCAUCGCUCAACGGAUAAAAGGUACUCCGGGGAUAACAGGCUGAUACCGCCCAAGAGUUCAUAUCGACGGCGGUGUUUGGCACCUCGAUGUCGGCUCAUCACAUCCUGGGGCUGAAGUAGGUCCCAAGGGUAUGGCUGUUCGCCAUUUAAAGUGGUACGCGAGCUGGGUUUAGAACGUCGUGAGACAGUUCGGUCCCUAUCUGCCGUGGGCGCUGGAGAACUGAGGGGGGCUGCUCCUAGUACGAGAGGACCGGAGUGGACGCAUCACUGGUGUUCGGGUUGUCAUGCCAAUGGCACUGCCCGGUAGCUAAAUGCGGAAGAGAUAAGUGCUGAAAGCAUCUAAGCACGAAACUUGCC